This 253-nucleotide ribosomal RNA is filed under the name uncultured bacterium. RNAcentral's name for it is "partial 16S ribosomal RNA". It matches the Rfam family "Bacterial small subunit ribosomal RNA", at positions 524 to 776 of the family's 1533-position model. The record is from RNAcentral.
UACGGAGGGUGCGAGCGUUACUCGGAAUCACUGGGCGUAAAGCGCGCGUAGGCGGUAAGGCAAGUCAGGCGUGAAAGCCCCCGGCUUAACCGGGGAAGUGCGUUUGAAACUGCCUUUCUUGAGUACCGGAGAGGGAAGUGGAAUUCCCGGUGUAGAGGUGAAAUUCGUAGAUAUCGGGAGGAACACCGGUGGCGAAGGCGACUUCCUGGACGAGUACUGACGCUAAAGUGCGAAAGCGUGGGGAGCAAACAGG